CAAGUCGAGCGGAAUGACGAGAGCUUGCUCUCUGAUUUUAGCGGCGGACGGGUGAGUAACACGUGGGCAACCUGCCCUACAGAUGGGGAUAACUCCGGGAAACCGGGGCUAAUACCGAAUAAUCAGUUUGUCCGCAUGGACAAACUCUGAAAGACGGUUUCGGCUGUCACUGUAGGAUGGGCCCGCGGCGCAUUAGCUAGUUGGUGGGGUAAUGGCCUACCAAGGCAACGAUGCGUAGCCGACCUGAGAGGGUGAUCGGCCACACUGGGACUGAGACACGGCCCAGACUCCUACGGGAGGCAGCAGUAGGGAAUCUUCCACAAUGGACGAAAGUCUGAUGGAGCAAUGCCGCGUGAGCGAAGAAGGUUUUCGGAUCGUAAAGCUCUGUUGUAAGGGAAGAACACGUACGGGAGUAACUGCCGUGCCAUGACGGUACCUUAUUAGAAAGCCACGGCUAACUACGUGCCAGCAGCCGCGGUAAUACGUAGGUGGCAAGCGUUGUCCGGAAUUAUUGGGCGUAAAGCGCGCGCAGGCGGUCUUUAAGUCUGAUGUGAAAGCCCACGGUUAACCGUGGAGGGUCAUUGGAAACUGGAGAACUUGAGUACAGAAGAAGAAAGCGGA
Molecule: ribosomal RNA, 621 nt
Filed under: Sporosarcina sp. 309-63
Lineage: Bacteria; Bacillati; Bacillota; Bacilli; Caryophanales; Caryophanaceae
Description: SSU rRNA
Rfam family: Bacterial small subunit ribosomal RNA
Source: RNAcentral